RNAcentral lists this ribosomal RNA (825 nucleotides) under Campylobacter jejuni. RNAcentral describes it as "bacterial SSU rRNA". It matches the Rfam family "Bacterial small subunit ribosomal RNA", at positions 616 to 1438 of the family's 1533-position model. The record is from RNAcentral. Lineage: Bacteria; Pseudomonadati; Campylobacterota; Epsilonproteobacteria; Campylobacterales; Campylobacteraceae.
UUAAACUGCUUGGGAAACUGAUAGUCUAGAGUGAGGGAGAGGCAGAUGGAAUUGGUGGUGUAGGGGUAAAAUCCGUAGAUAUCACCAAGAAUACCCAUUGCGAAGGCGAUCUGCUGGAACUCAACUGACGCUAAGGCGCGAAAGCGUGGGGAGCAAACAGGAUUAGAUACCCUGGUAGUCCACGCCCUAAACGAUGUACACUAGUUGUUGGGAUGCUAGUCAUCUCAGUAAUGCAGCUAACGCAUUAAGUGUACCGCCUGGGGAGUACGGUCGCAAGAUUAAAACUCAAAGGAAUAGACGGGGACCCGCACAAGCGGUGGAGCAUGUGGUUUAAUUCGAAGAUACGCGAAGAACCUUACCUGGGCUUGAUAUCCUAAGAACCUUAUAGAGAUAUGAGGGUGCUAGCUUGCUAGAACUUAGAGACAGGUGCUGCACGGCUGUCGUCAGCUCGUGUCGUGAGAUGUUGGGUUAAGUCCCGCAACGAGCGCAACCCACGUAUUUAGUUGCUAACGGUUCGGCCGAGCACUCUAAAUAGACUGCCUUCGUAAGGAGGAGGAAGGUGUGGACGACGUCAAGUCAUCAUGGCCCUUAUGCCCAGGGCGACACACGUGCUACAAUGGCAUAUACAAUGAGACGCAAUACCGCGAGGUGGAGCAAAUCUAUAAAAUAUGUCCCAGUUCGGAUUGUUCUCUGCAACUCGAGAGCAUGAAGCCGGAAUCGCUAGUAAUCGUAGAUCAGCCAUGCUACGGUGAAUACGUUCCCGGGUCUUGUACUCACCGCCCGUCACACCAUGGGAGUUGAUUUCACUCGAAGCCGGAAUACUAA